UACUACGACCUUACUUCACGAGACUCCCACCACCCAUACCCUGUUUCUUCUCGCAGCUCUUAAGUGCAUAGCUUGCUUUGUGCCACCACCGUACCGUACCAAACAGAUCAAAUCAGAGAUGGCAAGUCGUAGUAGCUCUGCAGAAGGUGCAGGCAGGACGUUGCCUGUCAAUCUCAAGUUGAUCACCGUGCUGAGCAUCGAUGGCGGCGGCAUCAGAGGGAUCAUCCCGGCCACCAUCCUCGCCUUCCUGGAAGCGAAGCUCCAGGAACUGGACGGGCCAGACGCUCGUAUCGCGGACUACUUCGACGUCGUCGCCGGCACGAGCACCGGCGGUCUCCUGACGGCGAUGCUCACGGCCCCUGACACGAACGAACGGCCGCUGUUCGCCGCCAAGGACUUGGCGCGGUUCUACAUCCAGCACUCGCCCAAAAUCUUCCGGCAGAAGAAAAAAAAGAUGCAUGCAUCGAUCGGGGUGCUCAUACACAAGGAUGCCAUGCCGUGCAGGAAUGCUAUGGGGUCCAAGCUCGUCGGCAAGCUGAGGAUGGCUUGUGGGCCCAAGUACGACGGCAAGUACCUCCAUGCGCAGCUCCGACGGCUUCUUGGUAAUAUGAGGCUGGACAGGACACUGACCAAUGUUGUCAUCCCGACCUUCGACAUUGCCUACAUGCAACCCAUGAUUUUCUCCAGCUUUGAGUUGAAGCACCGGCCGUCGACAAAUGCGCUUCUGUCAGACAUAUGCAUGAGCACCUCUGCCGCGCCUACCUACUUCCCGCCGCACUACUUCCAGACCAGGGACGAGAAUGGCAGGAGGAAGGCCUUCAACCUCGUGGACGGCGGAAUCGCUGCGAACAACCCCACCCUGUGCGCCAUGGGCCAGGUGUCUAAGGACAUCAUCCUUGCGGACGACGACUUCUUCCCGGUGAUGCCGGCGGACUACGGCAAGUUCAUGGUCAUCUCGCUCGGCUGCGGGUCGAACCGGAACCGGAGGUACUGCGCCAAGGCCGCCGCCAGGUGGGGCGUCUUCAGCUGGCUCUUCAAGGACGGCAGCGCUCCCAUCAUCGACAUGUUCAACUCCGCCAGCGCAGACAUGGUCGACAUCCACCUCUGCGUCCUCUUCAGGGCCCUGCGCUCCAGCGAAAACUACCUGCGCAUUCAGUACGAUCAGCUGACGGGCAGCGCGGGCUCCAUAGACGACUCGUCCAAGAAGAACAUGGAUAGACUGGUGAGGAUAGGGAACAAGCUCCUGGACAUGAACGUCUCCCGGGUGGACCUGGAGACCGGCCGGAACGUGGAGGUGCCCGGUGCAGGGACCAACGCCGAGCGGCUCGCCAAGUUCGCCAGGCAGCUCUCUGACGAGCGACGGCGCCGGCGCCAGAACGAGCUUAUUAUGAAUUCCGAACAAGUGUUUCAAAUUCAACAUCAAGCUUGGUACUACGGUGGUGACGCUUGAGCUGCAUCCGGCCUGCAGAAUGAGCCGCGCUGCCGCCCGCCCCGCCCCGGCCGCCGCCGACCGCGCCCGCCGUCCCGGCCCCGCCGGCCGCGCCCGCUGUCCUGGGCCUGAGCAGCCGCCGCCGCCUGCGUCCACAACCGAGCCGUCGCCGGCCCACAACCGAGGAGCGCCCCCCGCCUGCGUCCGCCCCCGAGGAGGCCGUCCCGGCAGCGCCCACCACCGGCAGCUCCCACCCCGCGGUUGUCUCUCCCACCCCCGGCAGCGCCCGUCCACGAGGAGCUCGCCCCGGCAGCGCCCGCCUCCGGUAGUGCCUGGUGUUCGUGCGCACGGCCGCCUCGCCCCCCGUCGACCCCGCCCGUGUCGGCGCCCGCUGCGCAGCCACGACUCCGCCGUGGACGUCCCCGACCCAAAUCAUCGAUCUGCACCCGCUGCAACCGUCAGCAUCAAAUAUGGUGGGUGAGGACCGUCGAUGGAUGUAUGAAGGUUGGCGUAUGAAUCAUCCCUCGAUGGAGUGGAUAAGAAAGACAGAGAAUUUUAUUGAUCGUGCUUUUGCUUCGUCGAAGGCAAGUAAAGAAAGUGUUGGGCAACAUAUGUCGUAUGAAAUGGCCUGGAUUGUUGAUAGAGGAUGGUAAGGAGGUCCCUGUCACAAGAUGGGAUCAAUAUGCCCUUGCAAUAAAUGCGCAACAUGGGAAUGCACAAGCUGCAGUUUGGCACGACUUCUGGAAACAUUACAAGUUGCCUGAAGGAGAUACUCAUACGGAACACGCACACUCCAUGUUCCAUAGGAAUGCGGCAAGUGUUGUUGGGGAUAUGAUGUACUAUGCUCGAAUCCAGGUGAUUAGUAAAGCCAUGUUUGGUAGUGAAGGGCGACGUCCAGAGAGUAAGAAUGAGGCGACACAGUAUGGAGUCGAUAUGACUGAGCAACAAUAUCUUGAGCAUUCGAUUCCAUGGAUAGCUGCCAAUGAUGCUGCUUGGCAUGCGUUAUGUCGUUACUGGGCUUCGGCUGAAUUCAAGGCAAAGUCUGUGCGACACAGUUCCAAUCGUGGAACCGAGUCGUAUCAUAGGUAUGGAGGUGAUGAUCACUUUCGUUUGGCAAAACGAAUGGAAGUUAGCACUGGUGCAGUAACCAGUGAUGUUCAAAUCUACCUUAGGGGGCACAGAGUACCAGAUCCUGCAAAUCCAGAUGUGUUGUGCAGCCAAAAGGCAACAGAUCGUGUGGCUGCAUAUGGCGAGGCGAUGACUAGUCAGCACGGACCAGACUAUGACUGGAGGACCUCACCUAUUGAUCCUCAGGCUGUGUAUGCAAGUGGUUGAAAAGCUCAUGGAAGGUACACAAUGUUUGCUAACGUCAUCGACUUGAGCCAGGUUAGGGUUCAGCGUGGAGGUUCAUCGAGGUCUGCUGCUCGUAGCUCCCGUCGCUCCACUCAAGAUCCAGCAGAAGUGGAGCAACUGCGAGAAGAACUUAGGCGACAUCAGGAUUACUUGAAGCAACAAGCUGCGCAACAUGAAUAUUAUGCUACACAGAUUCAGCAACAGCAAACACUCAUACAACAACUAGCACAGGCCCAAGGGAUACAUGUCCCGGUGCCCCCCCCACCUCCCGUCCAUUAUCCUUGGUCUUCACCUCCACCUAUACCUACAUCUCCAUCUACCGAACAUCAGACCCCUCCAGCUACCUUGCCGACGCAUGAACAAGAGGACGGGUUAGACUUUGUCGAUACCCUCUUGAAUAGUGGAGGUAUCGAUGGUGAUCGGCGACCGUGAGCUUCCAUGUUAUUGUGUUCUGAUACUUGAGACUUUUAUUAUGACUAUGUAUGAGAUAUUGUCUUUUAUUAGUACUGGAUGAUGAUAUUUGUGAGACUUUUGUGAUGAUGAGACUAUGGAUGAGACUUUUGUGAUGUAAUAAUUGAUGAGACUAUGGAUUUAAAUAUUGUUAUGUGAUUGUGUGUGAGAUAUUUUAUGUGAUAAUCUGUUGUGUUAUAUAGCUGUUGAUAUAUUUGUUA
This is an RNA transcript of Zea mays, 3453 nucleotides long. RefSeq lists it as uncharacterized. The transcript has 15 exons. The record is from RefSeq and is marked validated. NCBI's taxonomy places the organism in Eukaryota, Viridiplantae, Streptophyta, Magnoliopsida, Poales, Poaceae.